RNAcentral lists this transfer RNA (74 nucleotides) under Candidatus Tayloriibacteriota bacterium. Its description in RNAcentral is "tRNA-Gln". It matches the Rfam family "tRNA". From Rfam's summary of the family: Transfer RNA (tRNA) molecules are approximately 80 nucleotides in length. Their secondary structure includes four short double-helical elements and three loops (D, anti-codon, and T loops). Lineage: Bacteria; Candidatus Tayloriibacteriota. The record is from RNAcentral.
UGGGAGAUCGUCUAAUGGUCGGACAGCUGCCUCUGGAGCAGUUAAUCUAGGUUCGAUUCCUAGUCUCCCAGCAA